CAGGACGAACGCUGGCGGCGUGCCUAACACAUGCAAGUCGAACGGAACUCUUUGGAUCAAGGCUUCGGCCAAGUGAAUUUGAGUUUAGUGGCGGACGGGUGAGUAACGCGUGAGCAACCUGCCUUUCAGAGGGGGACAACAGUUGGAAACGACUGCUAAUACCGCAUAACACAUCGAGGGGGCAUCCCCAUGAUGUCAAAGAUUUAUCGCUGAAAGAUGGGCUCGCGUCUGAUUAGCUAGUUGGUGGGGUAACGGCCUACCAAGGCGACGAUCAGUAGCCGGACUGAGAGGUUGAACGGCCACAUUGGGACUGAGAUACGGCCCAGACUCCUACGGGAGGCAGCAGUGGGGAAUAUUGGGCAAUGGGGGCAACCCUGACCCAGCAACGCCGCGUGAAGGAAGAAGGCUUUCGGGUUGUAAACUUCUUUUACCAGGGACGAAGACGUGACGGUACCUGGAGAAAAAGCCACGGCUAACUACGUG
Molecule: ribosomal RNA, 483 nt
Filed under: uncultured bacterium
Lineage: Bacteria
Description: bacterial SSU rRNA
Rfam family: Bacterial small subunit ribosomal RNA
Source: RNAcentral